This is a long non-coding RNA of Mesocricetus auratus (golden hamster), 756 nucleotides long. RefSeq lists it as uncharacterized. The record is from RefSeq and is a predicted model, not a curated record. NCBI's taxonomy places the organism in Eukaryota, Metazoa, Chordata, Mammalia, Rodentia, Cricetidae. The transcript has 3 exons.
CUACUCUCUGUGCUGUUUUUGUGGUUUCCCGUCACGAGAAGCGCAGACUCCUCACACAGCGCUGGAACAGUUGCCCGUGUUUACCGUGAGCAGCUUGUCUUCUGCCAGCACCGUGGAAGCUCGGGAACUUUGAGAUCACAUUCAUCAACUCCUCUGUGAUGAAAUGACAGAAGAUUUCUGCAGAGACGGAAGAAAACAGCACAUUUGAAGGACUUAGUAUAACCCUGAAGCAUUUGUGUGACCAGCCAGCAGAAGGGCAAAGGGGAUCUCCACAUCUUCCAGCCCCAGCCUUCAUGAUAUAAUGGAUCCUCGCCUCUCCCAGAGGGUGAUGUGUAGCCAUCACACCUCUCCCGCAUGACUGAAAAGGAGGAAGGGUGUCUUUUCAGCAGGGCUGGGCCCUGCGUGGCUGGCUCUCUCUGCAGCAGGUGGUAAACCUGGCUUCUCUCUGAUAGACACUUGCUUCAUCAAGGAAGAAACCGACUUUUUAAAUUUUAUUGUAAGGUUUGCUCAACACCAGGCAGACAUCAGAAAGGACUUCCUGUCCAGAUCAGGAGGCUCACGACUCCAAUUCUCUGUGGACCUUCAGGGAGAGUUCAUAUCCGUCUGUGCUGGAUGACAGGUCGACCCUGGAAGAGUCAAGGGCAUAGCUGCAAUGACCCUUCCUAACCUUGUUAAAGGAUUCCCUACCGCCCAGGUUCCCCUGCUCCUCCGUUCCCGUAGACGGCUCAAGCACCAUUAAAUAUCUUGGAAUAAAAA